GCCAAGUGAAUCUGUGCUUGGAACUGGCAGGUGGCGUUUAGCAGUGGCAUCCAAUCUCUAUUCUUAAAAUCCAGCGGUGUUCUUCACUUUUCAGGAGGAUUGAUUGAUGAUACUUGUUGGUUAAACCACGAAGAAUACCAAUACAUGGAUGAGUGGAGGGCUAUAAAAGUUUAAAACUAAUUCCUUAUGGCAUUUUCAUUCUCGCAUGCGCGGCAGUUCGUGAGCAGACGAAGCAUUGAAAGAGCCUUGCGCAGUCUAGCUGCAUCCAGCCAGAUACUUGUAGAACCCGAAAUAUUGUUUUGACAAGUACUGCCAUAUUUCGGUGGCUGGUUUUCAGUAAAUACCAAGUAUAUCAGAAAAAAGAUUCACAUUUUCAUGAUCCUCGUCAAAUUUGGGGUCGAUUCCAUGUAUCAGCUCAAAAUACCCCAAAAUCGUCAAAAAUCGCAAAUUUUCCUGAACAUGUUCCUGAACACUGUUCAUGAAAAAUCACGAUUUUGUUCAAAUCCGACUUUUGGCUACAAACACGUCAUUCCAACUCAAAUUCGAUAAGGAUCACAAAAAUCCUACUCGUUUUAUUAUGGGAUUACUAUUUCCGGAGAUAUUGGCUACUUCCGGUUACUUCCAUAAAUUUUUCCUGACAAUUUUCAAAAAGGUAGUGCAGCUAUUAUUCCCUGUUUCUUUUCGCCAUCAACAGUACAGGUGACCCUACGAGCAACGACAGUUUCAGCUACAAAUGUUUCAGUGCCUGGUCUUUCAACCAAUAGUUGAUAUUCUAGGUUCUUAUGUUUAAAAUUGAAAUUUAACUAUUUGAGAUUAGUAAAGUUCAAGCACUUAAAAAUAAGAACUGUACUGACAUGGUACUGAUUUCAAAAUAAAAUUCAUUUUUUGGGGGGUUUCAGGAGGGAAAAUAGAUGGCGUUGAUCUUUGUCUAUGAUAAAUAUUACGAGUGACAAGUUAAAUUGAUGGUUUGUUACGUUUCUACCCUGUUUAGUGUUUUAAAGGAUUUUCAUCAAAUAUUUACGGGUUUCGCCUUGUCAGUUGCUGAACCAGUAGCCUGCAUUCUUGUGUCGCCAUUGAUAGAAGUGUGUUGGAAGGACAUCACAUCAAAAAAUUGCUUUUUGUAUGCAACAGUUUCCCCUGCCAUCACCUUUCCAAACUACUGAACGAGAUACAUUGGACAUUAUUCUUCAUAUUGAGAAAACUGUUUUCAUACUAAGGCCAAAAGAAUACUGAAACAAAAAAUCUUCAUCUAUUGAAUGGUACCAAUCAUCUACCAGCUGCCUACUUAUCCUUCUUCCGAACUUCACUCCUGAGCUGAUCGCUAUCCAUAGCUAUCUGCACUUCAUGUCAUUAAUCUAAAGCUUUCAAAUCUUCAUCUUUGAAUGCUAUCUCAACCAUUUCUUCUAUGCUGCCUUGACCUCCCCUUGACCUUCAAACAUACAGAAAUUUCAACACCCUCACCUCUUUAUGGAUUGCCAAGUGUUCAUUUUCGUGUUUCAUGGAAAAUCGUCGUCCAAAACAUGUGCUGACUGCUGAAGUCUUAAUUCCCGUGCGUCGUGAAACACGUGGCAUCCAAUACCGAUAGAUGUUAUCCCGGAAGGUGUAUGGAUCCAAAACAACCCACGGCUAUGGCGCAGGACAUCAUCGUGGAGCGUCUUAUUCAAUGUAGUAUUGUUUUGUUAUUUUGUUCGUGUGAGUUAACCCGUUGGCUGCCACCCACUUUUCUCCCAUUUUUUUUUGUAGCUUUAGGGACCGGCCGCACUGUCCUGCCCCGUGGGGUGGGGCAGUUGCAAUGGCCUUCGCCGAAAGGCGCUUAGGCAAUGCACCAGUAGGGACUUCUCUUUGUUCGAUGCGAUGGCGGAAUCUUGAGGGUGUGCAUUCCCUGUAAUGGAUUCCGUCAUCGCAUCAGCCCGGACUUUUCUUCGGACAAGUCCCACCUUGGUCGUGGAUCCUUCAGAUGCGACGCGUAGUUAAGUAGUAACACAACCUAAGGGUUGUAAGGCGUGGCAGCCAACGGGUUAACUAUUUGUGUAUGUGUGUAUGUAUGUAUGUAUGUAUGUAUGUAUGUAUUUUUGUAUUUUGUUAUGUAUGUUUGAUUUUGUAUGUAAACAGUGGUGGAAUUGUGGGAGGUGGUGGGACAAUACAAACAAUUCCUGUCAUA
Molecule: long non-coding RNA, 2161 nt
Filed under: Daphnia magna
Lineage: Eukaryota; Metazoa; Arthropoda; Branchiopoda; Diplostraca; Daphniidae
Description: uncharacterized LOC116917417, transcript variant X1
Source: RNAcentral